AGGGAAUGUUCAAAACCCAAAUCUGUGUGAAACUGAGGAAGGGAAAUGCCUGUGAAUAAGUACUGGUGAGAUGUCCCUAGCUUUUUAUUUUAUUUUAUUUUAUUUUUUAUUAGGUAUUUUCCUCAUUUACAUUUCCAAUGCUAUCCCAAAAGUCCCCCAUACCCUCCCCCCCACUCCCCUACCCACCCACUCCCACUUUUUGGCCCUGGCGUUCCCCUGUACUAUGUCCCUAGCUUUUAAACUUCAGUGCUCGAUGAGGCUCUAAGUCCAGGAUGGUGUCAGGAAGCUCUGAUGGUCAGGGACUCUAGCUGGGUGUGGGUUGUUAGCCACUGGGGCAGUACAGUUCUGUCACCCUGGGUGGGACAUACCUCUUUUUGUAUUCUAUAUAUAGUUACGGCAUUUGUCUCUGUUUCCUCUGUGCUUAACAACAUGUACUAAGGAGGUACAAGUCAAUGAUGUAGAUGCUGGCUUUGAUUCUCUCUCUUUCAUUUUGCUACCUCUCUACCCCCCUUUGACACCUCUGUGUUCCCCUUUGGCACCUCUCUCUAUCCUCCUUGACACCUCUCUCUAUACCCUUUGAUACCUUUGUAUCCCCCUUUGAUACCUCCCUCUUUAUCCCUUUUUGACACCUCUCUUAAUUAUUUGAUGCCUCUCUCUUCUGACUCUGACACUUGUCUCCUGCUCUGACAACUCUCUCUUUCUCUCCCUGACAUCUCUCUCCUACUUUGAUACCCUUCUCUCCUGACUGUAGGAUACCCCUCUUCCCAACUUUGACAUCUCACUCUCCAGUUCUGAAACCUCUUCCCCCCCCCCCCCCCCCGCUUUGACAUCUCUAUCCCCUACUUUGACACAUCUCACUCCUGCUUUGACACUUCUGUCUCCAGCUUUGGUACCUCUCUUUGCCUCUCCUGACUCUUUGACACCCCUCUCUAUCUUUGAUGCCUUUCUUUCCAGUUUUGACACCUCUUUCUCCCAUUUCAACAGUUGUUCUGGCUUACAUGUCUCCCUCACAUUGCUACCUGUCUUCAUGGUCAUUACUCUAGAGCUACAAGCAGCUCAGAUGUCUGCCUUCUGUGUGACUCUUGCCACCUUAUUCUCCCUGUACUGACUAAAGUCUCUCAAGAGCUACGACACUUGUGUGGUAAAAGACCUUCCAAUGGAUUUUCAUUGUAAUUUGGAUAAUAACUGAUAUAGAAAACGGAGCAAGCCUUGAGUGAGUGAAAUCUUGAAUCAGUGUAUAUUUUGAUAUGAGUAUGGCUGUGUUGAGGACUCCAAGGCCUCAGACGUAUGGAAAAAUUGGCAAAGCUUUCCUCCAGGAGUCCAAGUAUGAGUAUUUGUAAACAAUUAGUCAGUGUAUGCAAAGACAAACAACUUUGUUUUCUUCCCUAGGGGAUGUUUCCAGCUUGAGACUUCUUGCCUACAGAGACACCCUCAAGGAUUAGCUGCUCCUGAUGUACAUAAGAAACAUGCUGAUGUUUUGGGUUGUAGGUUAGAGAACCCUACCUGGUCCCAGCUCAACUGAACAUGUGACUGUAUGUCCAUCCCUUCUUCAUUCCCUCACUGUCCCUAUCCAGGGUUUUAAAACCCAAGC
RNAcentral lists this long non-coding RNA (1591 nucleotides) under Mus musculus (house mouse). RNAcentral's name for it is "long non-coding RNA chr12:118423760-118425351". Lineage: Eukaryota; Metazoa; Chordata; Mammalia; Rodentia; Muridae. The record is from RNAcentral.